GGAACCCAAGGCCAAGGUGAAUGUUUUUAUCAUUAAGCUACAUCUUCUCUCUGGACAGACUUUUAAAAUCUAUAUACAGGCUGUUGAGAAAGCCUGUAGAAUCUAGACAAGUCACCACAUUGUCCUGAUGGUGAUGAUACCUGAACAGUGGCUGUUUUGAUUGGCUAGGAAUUUUCAUAGGUCUCAGAUAGGAUUGUUUUUUCAUUAAAAUUGUAAAGCCUCUGUAUACUUCAAAUUUUAUUAUUACAACUUAUUUCUUCCCAUAAAAUAGAGUUAUAAGCAGACAUAUUAGCUUUUAUGCUAAAGUAGAUAUUGUGCCUAGUGACAGUGAAGCAGAGAGUGAGUGCUUCUUGGAUGCCACACAGACACCCUAGAAGGUGGAAAGUAUCUCCCUGUUGUGAGGGCUUGAGAACUGUUAACAUGUUUUUCAAGUAGUGUUCAUGGCUAACGGUAUAAAGCAGCUAGAGCCAGUAGGUCUAAUCCCCAGGAAACAGGAAAAAAAAAAAAAAUAAUAAGAGCUGUCUUAGGAAAAACCAGAGAUUACACAUGGUAGUUCUAGCCCAGUAUGGUGCUGCAUGCAUUUAAUCCCAGCACUCAGGAGUUAGGGACAAGAGGAUCGGUGUAAAUCUGAGGCCAGCCUGGUUGGUCUACAUAGUAAGUUCCAGUCCCACCAGGGUUAUAUAUUGAGACUCUGUCUCAAAAUAACAACAAACCCAAACCAACAAAAAAAAGUUCUAGAAACAUAUACACCAUACUUUCUAGGAGUUACUUCUGG
This 775-nucleotide long non-coding RNA is filed under the name Mus musculus (house mouse). RNAcentral describes it as "long non-coding RNA chr11:3214468-3215243". The record is from RNAcentral. Lineage: Eukaryota; Metazoa; Chordata; Mammalia; Rodentia; Muridae.